CACGUAGGGGGCAAGCGUUGUCCGGAUUUAUUGGGCGUAAAGAGCUCGUAGGCGGUCUGUCGCGUCGGUCGUGAAAACUUGGGGCUUAACCCUGAGCUUGCGGUCGAUACGGGCAUGACUGGAGUUCGGUAGGGGAGACUGGAAUUCCUGGUGUAGCGGUGAAAUGCGCAGAUAUCAGGAGGAACACCGGUGGCGAAGGCGGGUCUCUGGGCCGAUACUGACGCUGAGGAGCGAAAGCGUGGGGAGCGAACAGG
RNAcentral lists this ribosomal RNA (254 nucleotides) under uncultured bacterium. RNAcentral's name for it is "partial 16S ribosomal RNA". It matches the Rfam family "Bacterial small subunit ribosomal RNA", at positions 524 to 776 of the family's 1533-position model. The record is from RNAcentral.